UAUGGCGACCGGCGCACGGGUGAGUAACACGUAUCCAACCUGCCGAUGACUCGGGGAUAGCCUUUCGAAAGAAAGAUUAAUACCCGAUGGCAUAGUUCUUCCGCAUGGUAGAACUAUUAAAGAAUUUCGGUCAUCGAUGGGGAUGCGUUCCAUUAGGUUGUUGGCGGGGUAACGGCCCACCAAGCCUUCGAUGGAUAGGGGUUCUGAGAGGAAGGUCCCCCACAUUGGAACUGAGACGCGGUCCAA
RNAcentral lists this ribosomal RNA (246 nucleotides) under uncultured bacterium. RNAcentral describes it as "partial 16S ribosomal RNA". It matches the Rfam family "Bacterial small subunit ribosomal RNA", at positions 87 to 334 of the family's 1533-position model. The record is from RNAcentral.